RNAcentral lists this ribosomal RNA (468 nucleotides) under uncultured bacterium. RNAcentral's name for it is "partial 16S ribosomal RNA". It matches the Rfam family "Bacterial small subunit ribosomal RNA", at positions 28 to 507 of the family's 1533-position model. The record is from RNAcentral.
GACGAACGCUGGCGGCGUGCUUAACACAUGCAAGUCGAACGGAAAGGCCCUGCUUUUGUGGGGUGCUCGAGUGGCGAACGGGUGAGUAACACGUGAGUAACCUGCCCUUGACUUUGGGAUAACUUCAGGAAACUGGGGCUAAUACCGGAUAGGAGCUCCUGCUGCAUGGUGGGGGUUGAAAAGUUUCGGCGGUUGGGGAUGGACUCGCGGCUUAUCAGCUUGUUGGUGGGGUAGUGGCUUACCACGGCUUUGACGGGUAGCCGGCCUGAGAGGGUGACCGGCCACAUUGGGACUGAGAUACGGCCCAGACUCCUACGGGAGGCAGCAGUGGGGAAUAUUGCACAAUGGGCGGAAGCCUGAUGCAGCAACGCCGCGUGCGGGAUGACGGCCUUCGGGUUGUAAACCGCUUUCGCCUGUGACGAAGCGUGAGUGACGGUAAUGGGUAAAGAAGCACCGGCUAACUACGUG